RNAcentral lists this ribosomal RNA (1344 nucleotides) under Triticum aestivum (bread wheat). RNAcentral describes it as "partial small subunit ribosomal RNA". The record is from RNAcentral. Lineage: Eukaryota; Viridiplantae; Streptophyta; Magnoliopsida; Poales; Poaceae.
AUGGGGACGCAGGCAGCGGAGAACUUCGAACCGCCGGCCAAGGAUGUCAGGACGGAUGAGCAGAAGAAGAUUGACGACUGGCUCCCGAUCACGUCGUCGAGGAACGCCAAGUGGUGGUACUCGGCCUUCCACAAUGUCACCGCCAUGGUCGGCGCGGGGGUGCUCAGCCUCCCCUACGCCAUGUCCGAGCUCGGCUGGGGCCCUGGCAUCGCGGUGCUGGUCAUCUCGUGGGUGAUCACGCUCUACACGCUGUGGCAGAUGGUGGAGAUGCACGAGAUGGUGCCCGGGAAGCGGUUCGACAGGUACCACGAGCUCGGGCAGCACGCCUUCGGCGACAAGCUGGGGCUGUGGAUCGUGGUGCCGCAGCAGCUGAUCGUGGAGGUUGGCGUGAACAUCGUGUACAUGGUGACCGGCGGGAGGUCGCUCAAGAAGUUCCACGACGUGAUCUGCGACGGCAAGUGCAAGGACAUCAAGCUCACCUUCUUCAUCAUGAUCUUCGCGUCCGUGCACUUCGUGCUCUCGCAGCUCCCAAACUUGAACUCCAUCUCCGGCGUGUCCCUGGCCGCCGCCGUCAUGUCGCUGUCCUACUCGACCAUCGCGUGGGGCGCGUCGGUGGACAAGGGGAAGAUGGUGGACGUGGACUACAACCUCCGCGCCACCACGACGCCGGGGAAGGUGUUCGGCUUCUUCGGGGCGCUGGGCGAGGUGGCGUUCGCGUACGCCGGCCACAACGUGGUGCUGGAGAUCCAGGCCACCAUCCCGUCCACGCCGGAGAAGCCGUCCAAGAAGCCCAUGUGGAAGGGCGUGGUGGUGGCCUACAUCGUCGUCGCGCUCUGCUACUUCCCCGUCGCCCUCAUCGGCUACUGGGCCUUCGGCAACAGCGUCGACGACAACAUCCUCAUCACCCUCAACAAGCCCACCUGGCUCAUCUCCACCGCCAACAUGAUGGUUGUCAUCCAUGUCAUCGGAAGCUACCAGAUUUACGCGAUGCCGGUGUUCGACAUGAUCGAGACGGUGCUAGUGAAGAAGCUCAAGUUCCCUCCCGGCCUCACGCUCCGCUUGAUUGCCCGGACCCUCUAUGUUGCGUUCACCAUGUUCGUCGCCAUCACCUUCCCUUUCUUCGGUGGCCUGCUCGGAUUCUUCGGCGGGUUCGCCUUUGCGCCCACGACAUACUUCCUGCCCUGCAUCAUGUGGCUCGCCAUCUACAAGCCCAAAAGAUUCAGCCUCUCAUGGUUCACCAACUGGGUCUGCAUCGUCCUUGGAGUGUGCCUCAUGAUCCUGUCGCCAAUCGGAGGGCUCAGACAGAUCAUCUUGGAUUCCAAGACAUACAAAUUCUACUCAUAG